This 68-nucleotide transfer RNA is filed under the name Euproctus montanus. Its description in RNAcentral is "tRNA-Thr". It matches the Rfam family "tRNA". Rfam says of the family: Transfer RNA (tRNA) molecules are approximately 80 nucleotides in length. Their secondary structure includes four short double-helical elements and three loops (D, anti-codon, and T loops). The record is from RNAcentral. Lineage: Eukaryota; Metazoa; Chordata; Amphibia; Caudata; Salamandridae.
AUUUAGAUAGUUUAAAUAAAACAUCGGUCUUGUAAGCCGAAACUGAAGGUUAGCCCCUUCUCCAAAUA